CCAGCCAGCCCACAUAUCAUCAUAUCUGCCAAUGGGCUGACCAUCUCCCAUGAGUCCAAAGUACAUAGCAGGGCCUAUCAGCUCCCUGUUAAAAGCGAGGUUCAUUCCACACAUCGGGAAUAGGGUACCCUUCGGGAUUGUCAGAACAGCAUCCACAUAUCUGUGUGAGCUAAAAUUAAUCUACAAUUAGGCAAUGUGAACUUCUAAUUACAGGCAAACAUUUUUAAUAUUUUGAAGAAGAAUGUUGACAGUUCAAUCACCAACUAUAUCAAGCUUGGUUUUUUAACCAAAAAUUUACAAAAAAAGGGCUCAGAUGAUGAAUAGAAUCAUAAUUGCCAAAUUGUCCUAAAGAAUGUUAAUGGCGAGGAGACAAAUGGGAGGAUGGAAACCAAUGCCUCUCAACUAGCAUGUGCAGUAAGUUUCCACAAAAUGUCAUUGUUUUGAUCUUCCUUAAUUUGCUUCAAGAUUUCCACACCAGAAGCUUCAACUACGCAUAUAACCAUAAUCAAGAAGCUAUCUUUGAUGCAUAAUAUAUUAUAAGAAUUCAGUGUAUACAUGAUAUGAAGCUGGAGGUAUCCACCAUAAGAGAGAAAAAAAAGGAAGAGCGAACCUGGUGUUACGCUCAAGAGGUUUGACCAGCUGAGUAGGGGCGUCAUAGUCAGGGAUGUUGAGCCAAAGGCCAUGGGAGAUGGCAGUGGGCACUCCUCCUCGCAAGCUAAAUGGGUAACCUCUCACAAAAUCUGCCCCUUCUCUGAAUGGAUCAUACAGGGUGUUGAAGAAGAAGGGUGUCGAUGGGGUUAGCAAAUUCUGUAUGUGCUGUGCCAGCGCAUUUAUCUCCUUCGCACUUGGAUCCUUAGCAACAAAGCAAUCGUCAUCGAUGGUGAAGAUGUAUUUCUUCUUAGAAACCAAGAACCCGAAGCACCGACAGGCGGAGUCCUUGUAAGAGAUACAAUUGGCCUUAGGUCCAAGGACCCGAUUCACAUCGUUCCUGUUAUAAAGCUUGUAAUCAAAGCCAUCAGGAACCCGGAUUGUCUUGCUGGGAUCUCCAUCCUGGACGAUAAUUAGGUGGUAAGGCUGGAAGAAUGGCCUCCACAUCUCCAAG
Molecule: unclassified non-coding RNA, 1102 nt
Filed under: Hevea brasiliensis (rubber tree)
Lineage: Eukaryota; Viridiplantae; Streptophyta; Magnoliopsida; Malpighiales; Euphorbiaceae
Source: RNAcentral